RNAcentral lists this ribosomal RNA (289 nucleotides) under Escherichia coli. RNAcentral's name for it is "partial 16S rRNA". It matches the Rfam family "Bacterial small subunit ribosomal RNA", at positions 35 to 320 of the family's 1533-position model. Lineage: Bacteria; Pseudomonadati; Pseudomonadota; Gammaproteobacteria; Enterobacterales; Enterobacteriaceae. The record is from RNAcentral.
GCUGGCGGCAGGCCUAACACAUGCAAGUCGAACGGUAACAGGAAUCAGCUUGCUGAUUCGCUGACGAGUGGCGGACGGGUGAGUAAUGUCUGGGAAACUGCCUGAUGGAGGGGGAUAACUACUGGAAACGGUAGCUAAUACCGCAUAACGUCGCAAGACCAAAGAGGGGGACCUUCGGGCCUCUUGCCAUCGGAUGUGCCCAGAUGGGAUUAGCUAGUAGGUGGGGUAACGGCUCACCUAGGCGACGAUCCCUAGCUGGUCUGAGAGGAUGACCAGCCACACUGGAACU